UAUAGCUUAGUGGUAGAGCUCUUGCCUGGCAUGCAGAAGGUCCUGGGUUCAAUCCUUAGUA
RNAcentral lists this transfer RNA (61 nucleotides) under Cricetulus griseus (Chinese hamster). It matches the Rfam family "tRNA", at positions 6 to 65 of the family's 71-position model. From Rfam's summary of the family: Transfer RNA (tRNA) molecules are approximately 80 nucleotides in length. Lineage: Eukaryota; Metazoa; Chordata; Mammalia; Rodentia; Cricetidae. The record is from Rfam by way of RNAcentral.